AAACAUGUCUUUAAGAUUAUAAUUUAAAGUYUAGUCUGCUCCAUGAAUAUUUUAAAUAGCUGCAGAAUUUUAACUGUACAAAGGUAGCAUAAUCAAUAGUUUUUUAAUUAAAAGCUGGAAUGAAUGAUUGGAUAAGGUAAAAAUUGUCUCAAAUUUAUGAAAUUAGAAUUUUUUUUUUAGUAAAAAAACUAAAGUAAAUUUAAAAGACGAGAAGACCCUAUAGAUUUUUAUAUUUUAUUUAAAAAUAAAUUUAAAUUAUAAAAUAAGUUUUUUAAGUUAAUUAUUAGGUUGGGGAAAUUAUUAAAUUAAUAAAAUUUUAAUUAGAUUUAAACUUAAAUUUAAGGGUAAUUGAUCUUAUAAAUUUAAAUUAAAAGAAUAAAAUACCUUAGGGAUAACAGCGUAAUUUUUUUGGAGAGAUCUAAUUGAUAAAAAAGUUUGCGACCUCGAUGUUGAAUUAAGAAAUAAUAUUAAUGAAGAAAUUAAUAAAUUUUAGUCUGUUCGACUAUUAAAAUCUUACGUGAUCUGAGUUCA
RNAcentral lists this ribosomal RNA (531 nucleotides) under Rhinium sp. BFS-2018. RNAcentral describes it as "partial 16S large subunit ribosomal RNA". The stretch from base 391 to 531 matches the Rfam family "Archaeal large subunit ribosomal RNA", at positions 2544 to 2684 of the family's 2987-position model. The record is from RNAcentral. Lineage: Eukaryota; Metazoa; Arthropoda; Insecta; Hymenoptera; Ichneumonidae.